CUUCAGUGAUGAUCUGAUGACGAGUCAGAAAUGGACACCCUCUGCUCAGAAUAAACAGCUCAGUGCCACGUUCUGUGAUGCUGUGCUUGGGUGCUCUGGGGAAGGUGUCCUGUGCAUUGGAUGAUCUUGAGGCAUUUGUCUGAGAAGG
Small nucleolar RNA from Hemicordylus capensis (graceful crag lizard), 148 nucleotides. The record is from RefSeq and is a predicted model, not a curated record. NCBI's taxonomy places the organism in Eukaryota, Metazoa, Chordata, Lepidosauria, Squamata, Cordylidae.